RNAcentral lists this ribosomal RNA (201 nucleotides) under uncultured bacterium. RNAcentral describes it as "partial 16S ribosomal RNA". It matches the Rfam family "Bacterial small subunit ribosomal RNA", at positions 524 to 724 of the family's 1533-position model. The record is from RNAcentral.
UACGGAGGGUGCGAGCGUUGUCCGGAAUCACUGGGCGUAAAGGGCGCGUAGGCGGCCGAGCAAGGUCGCGGUGAAAGCUCGGGGCUCAACCCCGCGUCGGCCGUGCGAACUGUUUUGCUUGAGCACUGUAGAGGCAGGCGGAAUUCCGGGUGUAGCGGUGGAAUGCGUAGAGAUCCGGAAGAACACCGGUGGCGAAGGCGG